This 492-nucleotide ribosomal RNA is filed under the name uncultured bacterium. Its description in RNAcentral is "partial 16S ribosomal RNA". It matches the Rfam family "Bacterial small subunit ribosomal RNA", at positions 29 to 507 of the family's 1533-position model. The record is from RNAcentral.
AGUGAACGCUGGCGGUAGGCCUAACACAUGCAAGUCGAACGGCAGCACAGUAAGAGCUUGCUCUUACGGGUGGCGAGUGGCGGACGGGUGAGGAAUACAUCGGAAUCUACUUUUUCGUGGGGGAUAACGUAGGGAAACUUACGCUAAUACCGCAUACGACCUACGGGUGAAAGCAGGGGAUCUUCAGACCUUGCGCGAUUGAAUGAGCCGAUGUCGGAUUAGCUAGUUGGCGGGGUAAAGGCCCACCAAGGCGACGAUCCGUAGCUGGUCUGAGAGGAUGAUCAGCCACACUGGAACUGAGACACGGUCCAGACUCCUACGGGAGGCAGCAGUGGGGAAUAUUGGACAAUGGGCGCAAGCCUGAUCCAGCCAUACCGCGUGGGUGAAGAAGGCCUUCGGGUUGUAAAGCCCUUUUGUUGGGAAAGAAAAGCAGCAGGUUAAUACCCCGCUGUUCUGACGGUACCCAAAGAAUAAGCACCGGCUAACUUCGCG